GGGAAUUUUGGGCAAUGGACGAANCCUUUGANCCAGCCAUGCCGCGUGCGGGAAGAAGGCCUUCGGGUUGUAAACCGCUUUUGUCAGGGAAGAAAAGCGCUGGGCUAAUACCCCGGCGUCAUGACGGCACCUGAAGAAUAAGCACCGGCUAACUACGUGCCAGCAGCCGCGGUAAUACGUAGGGUGCAAGCGUUAAUCGGAAUUACUGGGCGUAAAGCGNGCGCAGGCGGCUUUGCAAGACAGAUGUGAAAUCCCCGGGCUCAACCUGGGAACUGCAUUUGUGACUGCAAGGCUAGAGUACGGUAGAGGGGAGUGGAAUUCCGCGUGUAGCAGUGAAAUGCNUAUAUAUGCGGAGGAACACCGAUGGCGAAGGCAGCUCCCUGGACCUGUACUGACGCUCAUGCACGAAAGCGUGGGGAGCAAACAGGAUUAGAUACCCUGGUAGUCCACGCCCUAAACGAUGUCAACUGGUUGUUGGGAGGGUUUCUUCUCAGUAACGUANCCUAACGCGUGAAGUUGACCGCCUGGGGAGUACGGCCGCAAGGUUG
This 548-nucleotide ribosomal RNA is filed under the name uncultured bacterium. RNAcentral's name for it is "bacterial SSU rRNA". It matches the Rfam family "Bacterial small subunit ribosomal RNA", at positions 357 to 896 of the family's 1533-position model. The record is from RNAcentral.